Molecule: ribosomal RNA, 689 nt
Filed under: Salmonella enterica subsp. enterica serovar Kentucky
Lineage: Bacteria; Pseudomonadati; Pseudomonadota; Gammaproteobacteria; Enterobacterales; Enterobacteriaceae
Description: partial 23S ribosomal RNA
Rfam family: Bacterial large subunit ribosomal RNA
Source: RNAcentral
CUUAUAUUCUGUAGCAAGGUUAACCGUAUAGGGGAGCCGAAGGGAAACCGAGUCUUAACUGGGCGUUAAGUUGCAGGGUAUAGACCCGAAACCCGGUGAUCUAGCCAUGGGCAGGUUGAAGGUUGGGUAACACUAACUGGAGGACCGAACCGACUAAUGUUGAAAAAUUAGCGGAUGACUUGUGGCUGGGGGUGAAAGGCCAAUCAAACCGGGAGAUAGCUGGUUCUCCCCGAAAGCUAUUUAGGUAGCGCCUCGUGAACUCAUCUUCGGGGGUAGAGCACUGUUUCGGCUAGGGGGUCAUCCCGACUUACCAACCCGAUGCAAACUGCGAAUACCGAAGAAUGUUAUCACGGGAGACACACGGCGGGUGCUAACGUCCGUCGUGAAGAGGGAAACAACCCAGACCGCCAGCUAAGGUCCCAAAGUCACAGUUAAGUGGGAAACGAUGUGGGAAGGCUCAGACAGCCAGGAUGUUGGCUUAGAAGCAGCCAUCAUUUAAAGAAAGCGUAAUAGCUCACUGGUCGAGUCGGCCUGCGCGGAAGAUGUAACGGGGCUAAACUGUGCACCGAAGCUGCGGCAGCGACGCUUAUGCGUUGUUGGGUAGGGGAGCGUUCUGUAAGCCUGCGAAGGUGUCCUGUGAGGGUUGCUGGAGGUAUCAGAAGUGCGAAUGCUGACAUAAGUAACGAUAA